AAACCUGAACCGAAACCAGAGCCCAUGCCACAUCCUGAGCCUAAACCUGAACCAAAGCCCAUGCCGGAGCCAAAGCCAAUGCCACAUCCAGAGCCGAAACCUGAGCCCAUGCCUCACCCUGAACCGAAACCUGAGCCAAAGCCCGAACCUAAGCCUGAGCCAAAACCCAUGCCCGAGCCAAAACCUGAACCAAAACCCAUGCCCGAGCCUAAGCCGGAACCUAAGCCUGAGCCAAAACCUGAACCAAAACCUAAGCCUGAGCCAAAACCUGAACCAAAACCUAAGCCUGAGCCAAAACCCAUGCCCGAGCCGAAACCUGAACCAAAACCCAUGCCCGAGCCUAAGCCUGAGCCAACACCCGUGCCCGAGCCAAAGCCGGAACCUAAGCCCGAGCCGAAACCCAUGCCCGAGCCAAAACCCAAGCCCGAGCCAAAGCCGGAACCCAAGCCCGAGCCAAAGCCGGAACCUAAGCCCAAGCCGGAACCCAAGCCCGAGCCAAAGCCGGAACCUAAGCCCGAGCCGAAACCCAAGCCCGAGCCAAAGCCGGAACCCAAGCCCGAGCCAAAGCCCGAACCGAAGCCAAAGCCGAAGCCGGAACCUAAACCCGAGCCCAAGCCUGAACCAGAGCCGAAGCCGUAUCCUAAGCCGGAACCAAAACCCAAGCCAGAACCUAAGCCAGAACCCAAGCCAGAACCUAAGCCCGAAC
RNAcentral lists this long non-coding RNA (706 nucleotides) under Setaria italica (foxtail millet). RNAcentral's name for it is "long non-coding RNA (SITA_LNC001875)". The record is from RNAcentral. Lineage: Eukaryota; Viridiplantae; Streptophyta; Magnoliopsida; Poales; Poaceae.